UGGGGAAUUUUGGACAAUGGGGGAAACCCUGAUCCAGCCAUCCCGCGUGUGCGAUGAAGGCCUUCGGGUUGUAAAGCACUUUUGGCAGGAAAGAAACGUCGCGGGUUAAUACCCCGCGAAACUGACGGUACCUGCAGAAUAAGCACCGGCUAACUACGUGCCAGCAGCCGCGGUAAUACGUAGGGUGCAAGCGUUAAUCGGAAUUACUGGGCGUAAAGCGUGCGCAGGCGGUUCGGAAAGAAAGAUGUGAAAUCCCAGAGCUUAACUUUGGAACUGCAUUUUUAACUACCGGGCUAGAGUGUGUCAGAGGGAGGUGGAAUUCCGCGUGUAGCAGUGAAAUGCGUAGAUAUGCGGAGGAACACCGAUGGCGAAGGCAGCCUCCUGGGAUAACACUGACGCUCAUGCACGAAAGCGUGGGGAGCAAACAGGAUUAGAUACCCUGGUAGUCCACGCCCUAAACGAUGUCAACUAGCUGUUGGGGGCCUUCGGGCCUUGGUAGCGCAGCUAACGCGUGAAGUUGACCGCCUGGGGAGUACGGUCGCAAGAUUAAAACUUAAAUGAAUUGACGGGGGUCAUAGCUGUUU
This 584-nucleotide ribosomal RNA is filed under the name uncultured bacterium. Its description in RNAcentral is "partial 16S ribosomal RNA". It matches the Rfam family "Bacterial small subunit ribosomal RNA", at positions 355 to 935 of the family's 1533-position model. The record is from RNAcentral.